RNAcentral lists this ribosomal RNA (118 nucleotides) under Periophthalmus magnuspinnatus. The record is from RNAcentral. Lineage: Eukaryota; Metazoa; Chordata; Actinopteri; Gobiiformes; Gobiidae.
GGCACAAGGCCACACCUCCUCGUCAAAGCCUGAUCCUGUCAAAUGUCAGAGGCUAACCAGGCCCGGUCUGAUUAGUAUUUGGAUGGGAGACCGCUGGGAAUACCAGGCGCCAGUGUCC